RNAcentral lists this small RNA (3606 nucleotides) under Pongo abelii (Sumatran orangutan). RNAcentral's name for it is "retained intron". The record is from RNAcentral. Lineage: Eukaryota; Metazoa; Chordata; Mammalia; Primates; Hominidae.
GAAAAAACAUAAAGAUAAUACUAAUGAUAAAAUUAGGAUUUUAGCUGUGAACAUGGCUAUGUAAAAGCUCACCUUUUUUGGAAAUUAUGCAAAAGUAACAGGAAAAUGAGAGAAAGAGGGGACAAACUAUUUUUAUAGACUAUCUGGGCAGUAGCAGAAGAAAAGAGGGCCUUUUGUUAUGAAAACCAUCCAGCCUUCAGAAAACAGCCUUGCUCACCCCAUCUUCAUGUCUCCCACAUAGCUAAUCUAAGAAACUUACUUAUUCAGUGAUGAAUAGUAUAAAGGGAACUAGCACAAGCUCAAUUUAUAGGAAAAAAUGAAGAACAGCAAAACAUAGAUAGGAUACAUGCUCCAGAAAACAUGUUGGCCUGGAAAAGAUGAAAUUUUCAAAUAUACAUUUUGCUGUAAAUUGGAAAAUACUUAAUGAAGUACCCAUAUCUUUGAGGAAAAGCUACAAAGCAGAGAAAUGUAAGAACUCAGAAAGAGAUGAAAUAUAAGCUGGAAGAAAAUAAAAUCAGAGGAAUCAAAACAAAAUCAAAAGGAAUACAGGGAAGAAUAGACACUGCGCAGAAUACUUCAUAAGGAAUAGAGUGAAACUGAGAAACUAAUAAUUUUUCAAGUUUAGAAAUAGAAAGACCUCAAUAUUUGAGUCCUUUUACAGAAAAUCUUACUCAAAUAAUAAGGAAAGUUACUUUCUCUCAUAACAAGAUGGAAAUAGGGUGGUUCCAAGGUUGGGUUACAGGGUAGCUCAAUGAUGUUAUUCUGCCCUGCCAAUGUCAGUGUGUGAGCCCAGUUCUCCACAUGGUCGGAGUGGCAACAGAAUUCCCAGGUAUAAUAUCCACACAUAACAACAAAGGACUUAUAUCCAGAAUAUAUGAACUCCUAUAAAAGUUAUUACUAAAUAAGGCAGACCAAUACAAAAUGGGCAAAUGACUUGAACAGACAAUUAACGUAGGAAGAUCUACAGGUAGCCAAUACGUCAUGAAAAAGUGCUUACCAUCAUUAGUUGUCAAGGAAAUAGAAAUUAAAACUACAAUGAUAUACCACUACCUACCCAAAAGAAUGGGUAAAAUGAUGAAGAUUGACAUUAUGACACGUGUUGGCAAAGAUGUACAACUGAAACUCUAGAACUGGAACAUUGCUGGUGAAUGUGUGAAGUGGGAUAGCAGUUUUGGAAAAGUUUGACAGUUUCUUAUAAAGUAUGCACUUACUGUACAGCUCAGCAAUUUCACUCCUACGUAUUUAUUCAAGAGCAAUGUAAACAUGUCCACAAAAAUAUUUGUACAUGAAUAUUUAUUGCAGCUUUAUGCAAGAUAGCUUCAAACUAGAAACAGGCCAAAUUUUCAUUAAAAGGUGAGUGGAUAAACUGUGGUAUAUUCAUUCAGUGAAAGAAUACUCAGAAAGGUAUGAAUUUCUCAUGUACACAUACAUGAAUAUAUCUCAGAAACAUGCUGAUUGAAAGAAACAGGACACAAAAGAAUAUAUCCCUUUUAUGCUAUUUUUAUGUAAUUCUAGAACUGGCAAAAAAUAAUCUGUAGUGACAGAAAGUAAAUCAGUGGUUGCCUGGGACUGGGGUGUGCAGAUUUGACCAAAAUGGGGCCUGAGGUGAUGGACAUUUUUAUUGUGGUAGUGGUCACAUGGGAAAAUGUGUUGUCAAAAUUUAUCAAAUUGUACACUUGAACACAUUUUAUUGUGUAUAAACUAUACCUCCAUGUAGUUGACUUAAAAAGUGUUUUGUAAACUUCCUAAAGAUAGACUAUAAAUUACAGUAUCUGCAGGGUAAGCAAUAAACUUUUUGUUGAGUUGAUGAAAAGAUAAAUGCCUGAGUUGCCAGUAUUAGUGACCGAAACCUUUCUGAACUUCCCUGUUUGUACAUACACUUUUUCUUUUCCUUUUUUUUAAGAAACAGGGUCUUACUCUGUUACCCAGGCUGGAAUGUAGUGUCAUGAUCUCAACUCACUGCAACCUCCACCUCCUGGGCUCAAGCAGUCCUCCCAACUUAGCCUUCUGAGUAGCUGGAACUACAGGCACAUGCCACCAUGCUCAGCUAAUUUUUGUAUGAUUUGUAGAGAUGGGAUUUCACCACAUUGCCCAGGCUGGUCUUUAACUCCUGGGCUCAAGCGAUCUGCCCACCUUGGCCUCCCAUGUACAUAUAUUUUCAAACUGAACAGAAAGUACAAUGAAGAUUAUUUGUUUUUUUCUUUGAUGGAGGAAUGCUGUAGACAUUUACUAGUGAUAUGUUAAGUAAUAAAUAAGCAUACUAAGUUAUAUUGCUGAGCAUCAAACUGGGAUACCAGUUAAUAAGCUAGACACAGUCCUUGCUUUCAUGAAGUUUUGCAGUCUAAUGGGAGAAGACUGUUAAUUCCAAAAAUAGUUAUAUAGUUAUCAGCAAAGGUAAAGACAAGUGCUGUAAGUGUGAAUAACAUAAGGAUGUAGUUUGAUGUGGUUAGUAUGGUUUAUUUAAUAAUGUUCAUUAACUUGUUCUUGGAAUUUCAAGCCUAUGAUCAUGUUUCUUUUGGGAUUAUUUUAAGGAUAAGAUGUUUGUUUCUAGCACAUUAUUUAAAUGAUCUCUAGCGUUUUUUGGCUUUUGCAAAUGCACCAUAUUUUCCAUUUUUUAUUUCUAGGUGACAACUGUUGAUAGAUUUCAAGGUCAACAGAAUGAUUAUAUUCUUCUUUCUCUGGUACGAACCAGGGCAGUGGGCCAUCUGAGGGAUGUCCGUCGCUUGGUAGUGGCCAUGUCUAGAGCCAGACUUGGACUUUAUAUCUUUGCCAGAGUAUCCCUCUUCCAAAACUGUUUUGAACUGACUCCAGCUUUCAGUCAGCUCACAGCUCGCCCCCUUCAUUUGCAUAUAAUUCCAACAGAACCUUUCCCAACUACUAGAAAGAAUGGAGAGAGACCAUCUCACGAAGUACAAAUAAUAAAAAAUAUGCUCCAGAUGGCAAACUUUGUAUACAACAUGUACAUGCAUUUGAUACAGACUACACAUCAUUAUCAUCAGACUUUAUUACAACUACCACCUGCUAUGGUAGAAGAAGGUGAGGAAGUUCAAAAUCAAGAAACAGAAUUGGAAACAGAAGAAGAGGCCAUGACUAUUCAAGCUGACAUCAUACCCAGUCCAACAGACACCAGCUGCAGUCAAGAAACUCCAGCCUUUCAAACUGACACCCCCCCUAGUGAGACAGAAGCCAGUUCCAAUCCAGAAGCCAUCCCUGCUUUAUCUGAGACCACCCCUACUAUGGCAGGAGUUGUAUCUGCACCAGCAGAGGCUAACACACCUCAGGAUGCCACAUCUGCCCCACAAGAGACCAAGUAGCCAAACUGUAGUCCUUCUAAAGGAGGACAUGGCAUUCAAAAAGUCUGAGUAAAGUUAUUUUUUGUAUUUUAUACUUGCUUCUGCCAUUUUACUGUCACUAAUUAAUGUUCAGUUCUUACAUUUGUUAACUGAUUUCAGUGUCUUGAAUAUUUUUUUUAAAUUAUGUGUAUGAACAAUUCUAGUUUCAUUUGUUCAAUCAGAAGAGCAAAUAACCAUUCCUUUCAUGUUUUGAUCACCGAGUGUGUCUGUAAUCAUACCUACAUUAAAAUCAUUUUCUAUAGAAUAUAUAAUA